RNAcentral lists this ribosomal RNA (484 nucleotides) under uncultured bacterium. Its description in RNAcentral is "partial 16S ribosomal RNA". It matches the Rfam family "Bacterial small subunit ribosomal RNA", at positions 30 to 507 of the family's 1533-position model. The record is from RNAcentral.
AUUGAACGCUGGCGGCAGGCCUAACACAUGCAAGUCGAGCGGAUGAAGGGAGCUUGCUCCUGGAUUCAGCGGCGGACGGGUGAGUAAUGCCUAGGGAUCUGCCUGGUAGUGGGGGAUAACGUCCGGAAACGGGCGCUAAUACCGCAUACGUCCUGAGGGAGAAAGUGGGGGAUCUUCGGACCUCACGCAAUCAGAUGAGCCUAGGUCGGAUUAGCUAGUUGGUGGGGUAAAGGCCUACCAAGGCGACGAUCCGUAACUGGUCUGAGAGGAUGAUCAGUCACACUGGAACUGAGACACGGUCCAGACUCCUACGGGAGGCAGCAGUGGGGAAUAUUGGACAAUGGGCGAAAGCCUGAUCCAGCCAUGCCGCGUGUGUGAAGAAGGUCUUCGGAUUGUAAAGCACUUUAAGUUGGGAGGAAGGGCAGUAAGUUAAUACCUUGCUGUUUUGACGUUACCAACAGAAUAAGCACCGGCUAACUUCGUG